UGCCAGCCGCCGCGGUAAUACGGAGGGUCCAAGCGUUAUCCGGAUUUAUUGGGUUUAAAGGGUGCGCAGGUGGUUUGGUAAGUUAUCUGUGAAAUUCCCGGGCUCAACCUGGGCAUGUCAGAUGAUACUGCUAGACUCGAGUACAGGAGAGGGUAGUGGAAUUUCCGGUGUAGCGGUGAAAUGCGUAGAGAUCGGAAGGAACACCAGUGGCGAAGGCGGCUACCUGGCCUGAUACUGACACUGAGGCACGAAAGCGUGGGGAGCAAACAGGAUUAGAUA
RNAcentral lists this ribosomal RNA (279 nucleotides) under uncultured bacterium. RNAcentral's name for it is "partial 16S ribosomal RNA". It matches the Rfam family "Bacterial small subunit ribosomal RNA", at positions 506 to 784 of the family's 1533-position model. The record is from RNAcentral.